GUCCAGGGGGAUGGAACUCGAACCCACAAUGUUCCGCUUACCGGGCAGAUGCCAUGUCCACUAGGUUACCCUGGA
This 75-nucleotide transfer RNA is filed under the name Cordylochernes scorpioides. RNAcentral's name for it is "tRNA-Thr". Lineage: Eukaryota; Metazoa; Arthropoda; Arachnida; Pseudoscorpiones; Chernetidae. The record is from RNAcentral.